This 380-nucleotide ribosomal RNA is filed under the name uncultured eukaryote. RNAcentral describes it as "partial 18S ribosomal RNA". It matches the Rfam family "Eukaryotic small subunit ribosomal RNA", at positions 592 to 976 of the family's 1831-position model. The record is from RNAcentral.
CAAUAGCGUAUAUUAAUGUUGUUGCAGUUAAAAAGCUCGUAGUUGGAUUUCUGGUGGGAGCGGCCGGUCCGCCGUAAGGUGUGUACUUGGUUGUCUCCUGUCAUCCUUGUGGGAACUGCUCUGGCAUUAAGUUGUCGGGGUUAGGGAACACAUCGUUUACUGUGAAAAAAUUAGAGUGUUUAAAGCAGGCUUAUGCCGUUGAAUACAUUAGCAUGGAAUAAUAAGAUAGGACUUUGGCGUCUAUUUUGUUGGUUUGCACACCAAGGUAAUGAUUAAUAGGGAUAGUUGGGGGUAUUCGUAUUUAAUUGUCAGAGGUGAAAUUCUUGGAUUUAUGAAAGACGAACUUCUGCGAAAGCACUUACCAAAGAUGUUUUCAUUAA